UUGCGGUUAAAAAGCUCGUAGUUGGAUUUCUGCCGAGGAUGACCGGUCCGCCCUCUGGGUGAGUAUCUGGCUCAGCCUGGGCAUCUUCUUGGAGAACGUAGCUGCACUUGACUGUGUGGUGCGGUAUCCAAGACUUUUACUUUGAGGAAAUUAGAGUGUUUCAAGCAGGCAUACGCCUUGAAUACAUUAGCAUGGAAUAAUAAGAUAGGACCUCGGUUCUAUUUUGUUGGUUUCUAGAGCUGAGGUAAUGAUUAAUAGGGAUAGUUGGGGGCAUUCGUAUUUAACUGUCAGAGGUGUAAUUCUUGGAUUUGUUAAAGACGGACCACUGCGAAAGCAUUUGCCAAGGAUGUUUUCAUUGAUCAAGAACGAAAGUUAGGGGAUCGAAGACGAUCAGAUACCGUCCUAGUCUUAACCAUAAACCAUGCCGACUAGAGAUUGGAGGUCGUUAUCUAUACGACUCCUUCAGCACCUUAUGAGAAAUCAAAGUCUUUGGGU
This 495-nucleotide ribosomal RNA is filed under the name uncultured marine eukaryote. Its description in RNAcentral is "SSU rRNA". It matches the Rfam family "Eukaryotic small subunit ribosomal RNA", at positions 613 to 1112 of the family's 1831-position model. The record is from RNAcentral.